This is an RNA transcript of Coregonus clupeaformis (lake whitefish), 1530 nucleotides long. It is a transcript of the gene named neurolysin, mitochondrial-like, with no coding region annotated. The transcript has 8 exons. NCBI's taxonomy places the organism in Eukaryota, Metazoa, Chordata, Actinopteri, Salmoniformes, Salmonidae. The record is from RefSeq and is a predicted model, not a curated record.
CACAACGGAAGUAAACCGAUUCAUGAGCACUACUGGACCUGUGAAGUAAAGAGGUUGAAUGAGAGAGGGUUUUGCGAAUUGCACGCAGAAAACCGUAUGAACUUGCUGCUGGCAUGUUUUCGAUACGAAUUGUAGUGUGUCGAACGCUGUGCAGAGUGUCUGGUUUUAAACCCAGUGUGAGAAUGACCUUGCAGAAUGGGCUGGUGUUACCUGCUGCCAGAAACUGUUCCCAGGUCGCCAUAGCAGGUAACUCAGCAGACUGCAACAACAGGAAUGCCCUGAGAUGGAAUCUGGCCCCAGAUCAGAUGAAGAACGUGACAGAGAGCCUGGUCCAGAGGAUCAAACAGCACAGCGCCAUAUUGGACUUCCCCAAGUAUGUGUCUGCUUGUAAGGAGGUGCGGUCAGUGAGCACAGAGGCCAACAAGAAGCUGUCUGACUUUGAAGUGGAGACGAGUAUGAGGGAAGACGUGUUUCAGAGAGUUAUUGCCUUAAAGGAGAACCAGCUGGACAAUCUAACGCCUGAGGCCAAGCGAUUCUUAGACUGUCCUAUCACAGGGAAGAGGAAAGGAUUCCACUUGUCAAAGGAUAUACAGGAGGUGGGCUACCGGAUAGCUAUCUGAAUGGGCUGGAGAAGACGGCAGACGGGUGUUACAAGGUGACCCUGGCAUACCCUCACUACUACCCUCUGAUGAGACCAGGAGAAAGAUGGAGACUGCUUUCCACAGCAGGUGUUAGGAGGUAAACACAGUCAUUCUGGAGCAGCUGAUCAAGCUGAGGGGGCACAGCUACUGGCUUAGAGUACCCACGCCAACAAUGUACUUGAGAUGAACAUGGCCAAGAAUACCAACAUGUGGCAUGCUUUCUAGACGACGUUCUCAGAGUUCAGUGGAACCCUUGUGGAGACAGACUUUGUAGAGGUGCCAUCUCAGAUACUGGAGAAUUGGGUAUGGGAGAAGGAGCCCCAUCCCCGACAAUCUGCUCAACAAACUCAUCGCCUCCCGAGUCGCCAACACAGGCACUAAUAUGACAGCCAGGUUCAGUCACUUGGCUGGGGGCUACGAUGUGCAGUAAGGACUAUGGCUACCUGUGGAGCGAGGUCUACUCCAUGGGCAUAUUCGUCAGUUUUAAAAUGGAGAGGAAUAAUGAACCCUAAGGUGUGGCACAGUCAAUCCACUCCACUCAACAUUCAUCUUGAGUUACCAUAUUCCAUUUUUUUUAUGCAUCUAUACUUUUAAGAAGAAAUAGAAUUUAAGCCUGCAAGUUCUCUUUGAUUGGCAAGCAUCUUUGAAUGUGACCUUGUGUGUCAGUAAUAUUACACCAUUUAUCAUGGCUUUUGACUGGCAUGUUCUGUAUGCCCAUCUUAUCAUCAGGUGGUGAAGGAGUACAGGAGGCUGAUUCUGGAGGCUGAUGGCUCUGUGGAUGGAAGGGACAUGCUGAAGACCUUCCUGGGUCGUGAACCUUGCCAGGAUGCCUUCUUUCAAUGCAAGGGAUUGGCCAAAGCUGAGGGAACACUGAACGGUCAUCACUGAC